UACGUAAGGGGCAAGCGUUGUCCGGAUUCACUGGGCGUAAAGCGCGCGUAGGCGGCUUGGUAAGUAGAAGGUGAAAGCUCUUGGCUCAACCAGGAAAUUGCCUUCUAAACUGCCUCGCUUGAGGAUUUUAGGGGAGAUUGGAAUUCACGGUGUAGCGGUGAAAUGCGUAGAUAUCGUGGAGAACACCUGUGGCGAAAGCGGAUCUCUGGAGAAUUCCUGACGCUGAGGCGCGAAGGCUAGGGGAGCGAACGGG
Molecule: unclassified non-coding RNA, 253 nt
Filed under: uncultured bacterium
Lineage: Bacteria
Description: contains 16S-23S intergenic spacer region
Rfam family: Bacterial small subunit ribosomal RNA
Source: RNAcentral